AACAGGGGGAUAACCCGGAGAAAUCCGGACUAAUACCCCAUAAUAUGGGCGCUCCGCAUGGAGAGCCCAUUAAAGAGAGCAAUUUUGGUUACAGACGAGCAUGCGCUCCAUUAGCCAGUUGGCGGGGUAACGGCCCACCAAAGCGACGAUGGAUAGGGGUUCUGAGAGGAAGGUCCCCCACAUUGGAACUGAGACACGGUCCAA
This 204-nucleotide ribosomal RNA is filed under the name uncultured bacterium. Its description in RNAcentral is "partial 16S ribosomal RNA". It matches the Rfam family "Bacterial small subunit ribosomal RNA", at positions 134 to 334 of the family's 1533-position model. The record is from RNAcentral.